AGAGUUUGAUCCUGGCUCAGGACGAACGCUGGCGGCGUGCUUAACACAUGCAAGUCGAACGAGAAUCUGAUGACGGAGUUUUCGGACAACUGAUUCAGAGGACAGUGGCGGACGGGUGAGUAACGCGUGAGGAACCUGCCUUUCAGAGGGGGACAACAGUUGGAAACGACUGCUAAUACCGCAUGAAGCGUAUUGAUCGCAUGGUCGAUACGCCAAAGAUUUAUCGCUGAAAGAUGGCCUCGCGUCUGAUUAGCUAGUUGGUGAGGUAACGGCCCACCAAGGCGACGAUCAGUAGCCGGACUGAGAGGUUGAACGGCCACAUUGGGACUGAGAUACGGCCCAGACUCCUACGGGAGGCAGCAGUGGGGAAUAUUGGGCAAUGGGCGCAAGCCUGACCCAGCAACGCCGCGUGAAGGAAGAAGGCUUUCGGGUUGUAAACUUCUUUUGUCGGGGACGAGUAGAAGACGGUACCUGACGAAUAAGCCACGGCUAACUACGUGCCAGCAGCCGCGGUAAUACGUAGGUGGCAAGCGUUGUCCGGAUUUACUGGGUGUAAAGGGCGUGUAGCCGGGAGGGCAAGUCAGAUGUGAAAUCCACGGGCUUAACUCGUGAACUGCAUUUGAAACUACUCUUCUUGAGUAUCGGAGAGGCAAUCGGAAUUCCUAGUGUAGCGGUGAAAUGCGUAGAUAUUAGGAGGAACACCAGUGGCGAAGGCGGAUUGCUGAACGACAACUGACGGUGAGGCGCGAAAGCGUGGGGAGCAAACAGGAUUAGAUACCCUGGUAGUCCACGCUGUAAACGAUGAAUACUAGGUGUGCGGGGACUGACCCCCUGCGUGCCGCAGUUAACACAAUAAGUAUUCCACCUGGGGAGUACGAUCGCAAGGUUGAAACUCAAAGGAAUUGACGGGGGCCCGCACAAGCAGUGGAGUAUGUGGUUUAAUUCGACGCAACGCGAAGAACCUUACCAAGUCUUGACAUCCUGCGACGAUGCUGGAAACAGUAUUUUCCUUCGGGACGCAGAGACAGGUGGUGCAUGGUUGUCGUCAGCUCGUGUCGUGAGAUGUUGGGUUAAGUCCCGCAACUAGCGCAACCCUUAUGGUCAGUUACUACGCAAGAGGACUCUGGCCAGACUGCCGUUGACAAAACGGAGGAAGGUGGGGAUGACGUCAAAUCAUCAUGCCCUUUAUGACUUGGGCUACACACGUACUACAAUGGCGUUAAACAAAGAGAAGCAAGACCGCGAGGUGGAGCAAAACUCAGAAACAACGUCCCAGUUCGGACUGCAGGCUGCAACUCGCCUGCACGAAGUCGGAAUUGCUAGUAAUCGUGGAUCAGCAUGCCACGGUGAAUACGUUCCCGGGCCUUGUACACACCGCCCGUCACACCAUGAGAGCCGGGGGGACCCGAAGUCGGUAGUCUAACCGCAAGGAGGACGCCGCCGAAGGUAAAACUGGUGAUUGGGGUGAAGUCGUAACAAGGUA
RNAcentral lists this ribosomal RNA (1483 nucleotides) under metagenome. RNAcentral's name for it is "bacterial SSU rRNA". It matches the Rfam family "Bacterial small subunit ribosomal RNA". The record is from RNAcentral.